CUUGAACAGAACACAUUAGAUCAACUUGAAGAGAACAAGUUAGGGUCUACUUGAAGAGGACAGGUUAGGGUCUACUUGAAGAGGACAGGUUAGGGUCUACUUGAAGAGGACAGGUUAGGGUCUACUUGAAGAGGACAGGUUAGGGUCUACUUGAAGAGGACAGGUUAGGGUUUACUUGAAGAGGACAGGUUAGGGUUUACUUGAAGAGGACAGGUUAGGGUCUACUUGAAGAGGACAGGUUAGGGUCUACUCGAAGAGGACAGGUUAGGGUCUACUCGAAGAGGACAGGUUAGGGUCUACUUGAAGUGGACAGGUUAGGGUCUACUUGAAGAGGACAGGUUAGGGUCUACUCGAAGAGGACAGGUUAGGGUCUACUCGAAGAGGACAGGUUAGGGUCUACUUGAAGAGGACAGGUUAGGGUCUACUCGAAGAGGACAGGUUAGGGUCUACUCGAAGAGGACAGGUUAGGGUCUACUCAAAGAGGACAGGUUAGGGUCUACUCGAAGAGGACAGGUUAGGGUCUACUCGAAGAGGACAGGUUAGGGUCUCCUUGAAGUGGACAGGUUAGGGUCUACUUGAAGAGGACAGGUUAGGGUCUACUCGAAGAGGACAGGUUAGGGUCUACUGCCACGUUACUUCAUUGAUGCAGUGUUAAUCUCUCAGAAACCUGAUAUGCCUGAUAUAGUCUAUCAUUACGACCGUAGAGACAGGGAGACCAUACAUAGCACUCUUAUUCCCUCCUCCCCUCUGCUCCUCAUCUGACCCACAGUCAUCCUCAUAUCUCAUUCUUCCCCCUCCCCUCAUCUGACCCACAGUCAUCCUCAUAUCUCAUUCUUCCCCCUCCCCUCUCCUCAUCUGACCCACAGUCAUCCUCAUAUCUCAUUCUUCCCCCCCUCCUCCUCAUCUGACCCACAGUCAUCCUCAUAUCUCAUUCUUCCCCCUCCCCUCUGCUCCUCAUCUGACCCACAGUCAUCCUCAUAUCUCAUUCUUCCCCCUCUCCUCUGCUCCUCAUCUGACCCACAGUCAUCCUCAUAUCUCAUUCUUCCCCCUCCCCUCUCCUCUGCUCCUUGUGUGUGUUUUUUACGUGACCCACUCAGCUUACCGUCACUAAACCUCACAGAGAAUCAAAACAUCUCCACCUCCACUGUCCAGUCUCAAUGGCCCUUUUUGUCCUCUCUCCUCUCCUCUUUUCACCUCUCCACCAUCCCGUCUCCUAUUCAUUAAACUGCUGGUUCAUUUGGGUAGUCUCUCGUCCCGGGGAUGGAGGAGAGGAGGAGGAGGAGAUGGGGAUGGAGGA
Molecule: long non-coding RNA, 1297 nt
Organism: Oncorhynchus keta (chum salmon)
Lineage: Eukaryota; Metazoa; Chordata; Actinopteri; Salmoniformes; Salmonidae
Exons: 4
Source: RefSeq, a predicted model, not a curated record